RNAcentral lists this transfer RNA (73 nucleotides) under Candidatus Woesearchaeota archaeon. Its description in RNAcentral is "tRNA-Gln". It matches the Rfam family "tRNA". Rfam says of the family: Transfer RNA (tRNA) molecules are approximately 80 nucleotides in length. The record is from RNAcentral. Lineage: Archaea; Nanobdellati; Candidatus Woesearchaeota.
AGCCCCGUAGUGUAGCGGUCAAUCAUUCGGCCCUUUGGAGGCUGAGACGGCGGUUCGAAUCCGCCCGGGGCUA